UGAAAGUGCAGCCUAAAGUGGGUGAUAAACUUCAUCUAAGGCUAAAUAUCGACGCGAAAUCGAUAGCAAACAAGUACCGUGAGGGAAAGUUGCAAAGAACUUUGAAGAGAGAGUUCAAGAGAACGUGAAAUCGCUGAAGUGGAACCGGAGAGAGUUAACAUAACUUGGUAGCUAUAUUCUCUAUAGUCGCUUAGCUGUGGCUUUGGGGGGUGGACGCUACCUGUUGUUGCGCUGACUGCGUUGAUCAUGCUUUCCUAACAAUGUAGUGUUGCCCACAUUGUGGUGUCUUGCUUAUUGGGAGGUUUGUCAUGGUUAACGUCAAGCCUUAGUUUCUAGGGAGUCAGUGUGAAAGUUAACCACCUUUCCGACCCGUCUUGAAACACGGACCGAGGAGUGUAAUUUACACGCGAGUCAAAGGGCUGAGGAAACCUUAUGGCAUAAUGAAAGUAAAGACCGGUUAACCGGUUGACAUGGGAUCCGACUGAACUUCUUCGAAACGGAGCACCAUGGCCCUGUCUUGUCUGCUUGCAGAUGGGCAGCGGUAGAGCGUGUAGGUUGCGACCCGAAAGAUGGUGAACUAUGCUUGAGCAGGACGAAGCCAGAGGAAACUCUGGUGGAAGUCCGUAUCGGUUCUGACGUGCAAAUCGAUCGAUAGACUUGAGUAUAGGGGCGAAAGACUAAUCGAACCGUCUAGUAGCUGGUUCUCUCCGAAGUUUCUAGGGAAUAGCUGA
Molecule: ribosomal RNA, 731 nt
Filed under: Heterorhabditis indica
Lineage: Eukaryota; Metazoa; Nematoda; Chromadorea; Rhabditida; Heterorhabditidae
Description: eukaryotic LSU rRNA
Rfam family: Eukaryotic large subunit ribosomal RNA
Source: RNAcentral